ACGGAAGGCAGCAGUGAGGAAUAUUGGUCAAUGGGCGGAAGCCUGAACCAGCCAAGUCGCGUGAAGGAUGAAGGUAUUAUGUAUUGUAAACUUCUUUAGCAGUGGAGUAAUAAGGGGAUCGUGAUCCCUGAUGCAAGUACACUGAAAAUAAGGAUCGGCUAACUCCGUGCCAGCAGCCGCGGUAAUACGGAGGAUCCGAGCGUUAUCCGGAUUUAUUGGGUUUAAAGGGUGCGCAGGCGGCCCUGUAAGUCAGCGGUUAAAUCGUGGAGCUCAACUCCAUCCCGCCGUUGAUACUGCAGGGCUUGAUUGCGGUCGAGGUUGGCGGAAUUCGUCGUGUAGCGGUGAAGUGCAUAGAUAUGACGAAGAACACCGAUUGCGUAGGCAGCUGACCAGGCCGUAAAUGACGCUCAUGCACGAAAGUGCGGGGAUCGAACAGGAUUAGAUACCCUGGUA
RNAcentral lists this ribosomal RNA (453 nucleotides) under uncultured Porphyromonadaceae bacterium. Its description in RNAcentral is "partial 16S ribosomal RNA". It matches the Rfam family "Bacterial small subunit ribosomal RNA", at positions 341 to 792 of the family's 1533-position model. The record is from RNAcentral. Lineage: Bacteria; Pseudomonadati; Bacteroidota; Bacteroidia; Bacteroidales; Porphyromonadaceae.